GACGAACGCUGGCGGCGCGCUUAACACAUGUAAGUCGAACGGAAAGGCCUGCUUUCCCUUGUGGAUUGCGGGUACUCGAGUGGCGAACGGGUGAGUAACACGUGAGUGAUCUGCCCCCAACUUGGGUAUAAGCCUGGGAAACUGGGUCUAAUUCCCGAUAGGACUGCAGGGUGGUGCCUGUGGUGGAAAACGAUUUUCUAGUGGUUGGGGAUGAGCUCGCGGCCUAUCAGCUUGUUGGUGGGGUAAUGGCCUACCAAGGCGGCGACGGGUAGCCGGCCUGAGAGGGUGGACGGCCACAUUGGGACUGAGAUACGGCCCAGACUCCUACGGGAGGCAGCAGUGGGGAAUAUUGCACAAUGGGCGGAAGCCUGAUGCAGCGACGCCGCGUGGGGGAUGACGGCCUUCGGGUUGUAAACUCCUUUCGACCGCGAGGAAGCCACCUGGUUGGAAGGGUGGUGACGGUAGUGGUAGAAGAAGCACCGGCUAACUACGUG
Molecule: ribosomal RNA, 494 nt
Filed under: uncultured bacterium
Lineage: Bacteria
Description: partial 16S ribosomal RNA
Rfam family: Bacterial small subunit ribosomal RNA
Source: RNAcentral